UCUAGCAUCACAAGUAUUAGAGGCAAU
RNAcentral lists this non-coding RNA (27 nucleotides) under Cricetulus griseus (Chinese hamster). The record is from RNAcentral. Lineage: Eukaryota; Metazoa; Chordata; Mammalia; Rodentia; Cricetidae.